Molecule: ribosomal RNA, 242 nt
Filed under: uncultured bacterium
Lineage: Bacteria
Description: partial 16S ribosomal RNA
Rfam family: Bacterial small subunit ribosomal RNA
Source: RNAcentral
UACGAAGGGGGCUAGCGUUGCUCGGAAUCACUGGGCGUAAAGGGUGCGUAGGCGGGUCUUUAAGUCAGGGGUGAAAUCCUGGAGCUCAACUCCAGAACUGCCUUUGAUACUGAAGAUCUUGAGUCCGGGAGAGGUGAGUGGAACUGCGAGUGUAGAGGUGAAAUUCGUAGAUAUUCGCAAGAACACCAGUGGCGAAGGCGGCUCACUGGCCCGGUACUGACGCUGAGGCACGAAAGCGUGGG